This 878-nucleotide ribosomal RNA is filed under the name Phlyctema phoenicis. RNAcentral's name for it is "partial large subunit ribosomal RNA". It matches the Rfam family "Eukaryotic large subunit ribosomal RNA", at positions 59 to 954 of the family's 3401-position model. Lineage: Eukaryota; Fungi; Ascomycota; Leotiomycetes; Helotiales; Dermateaceae. The record is from RNAcentral.
AAGAAACCAACAGGGAUUACCUCAGUAACGGCGAGUGAAGCGGUAACAGCUCAAAUUUGAAAUCUGGGUCUUUCAGGCUCCGAGUUGUAAUUUGUAGAAGAUGCUUCGGGUGCGGCUCCGGUCUAAGUUCCUUGGAACAGGACGUCAUAGAGGGUGAGAAUCCCGUAUGUGAUCGGUCGCUUGCGCCCAUGUGAAGCUCUUUCGACGAGUCGAGUUGUUUGGGAAUGCAGCUCCAAAUGGGUGGUAUAUUUCAUCUAAAGCUAAAUAUUGGCCAGAGACCGAUAGCGCACAAGUAGAGUGAUCGAAAGAUGAAAAGCACUUUGGAAAGAGAGUUAAACAGUACGUGAAAUUGUUGAAAGGGAAGCGCUUGCAACCAGACUUGCGUGUUGUUGAUCAUCCGGGGUUCUCCCCGGUGCACUCGACCUCACUCAGGCCAGCAUCGGUUUCGGUGGUUGGAUAAAGGCCUUGGGAAUGUGGCUCCUCUCGGGGAGUGUUAUAGCCCUCGGUGCAAUGCAGCCUACCGGGACCGAGGACCGCGCUUCGGCUAGGAUGCUGGCGUAAUGGUUGUAAGCGACCCGUCUUGAAACACGGACCAAGGAGUCUAACAUCUAUGCGAGUGUUUGGGUGUCAAACCCAUACGCGUAAUGAAAGUGAACGGAGGUGAGAACCCUUAAGGGUGCAUCAUCGACCGAUCCUGAUGUCUUCGGAUGGAUUUGAGUAAGAGCAUAGCUGUUGGGACCCGAAAGAUGGUGAACUAUGCCUGAAUAGGGUGAAGCCAGAGGAAACUCUGGUGGAGGCUCGCAGCGGUUCUGACGUGCAAAUCGAUCGUCAAAUUUGGGUAUAGGGGCGAAAGACUAAUCGAACCAUCUAGUAGCUGG